This 110-nucleotide transfer RNA is filed under the name Lachnospiraceae bacterium. Its description in RNAcentral is "tRNA-OTHER". It matches the Rfam family "tRNA". Rfam says of the family: Transfer RNA (tRNA) molecules are approximately 80 nucleotides in length. Their secondary structure includes four short double-helical elements and three loops (D, anti-codon, and T loops). Further hydrogen bonds mediate the characteristic L-shaped molecular structure. tRNAs have two regions of fundamental functional importance: the anti-codon, which is responsible for specific mRNA codon recognition, and the 3' end, to which the tRNAs corresponding amino acid is attached (by aminoacyl-tRNA synthetases). tRNAs cope with the degeneracy of the genetic code in two manners: having more than one tRNA (with a specific anti-codon) for a particular amino acid; and 'wobble' base-pairing, i.e. permitting non-standard base-pairing at the 3rd anti-codon position. The record is from RNAcentral. Lineage: Bacteria; Bacillati; Bacillota; Clostridia; Lachnospirales; Lachnospiraceae.
GGGACUGUAGCUCAAAUGGUCGAGCUGCAUGGAAAAGGAGCUUUGUCAAAAGCUCAUGCAGUAUCUUUCUUAAGGGCAUGCCGAUGCAGGUUCAAAUCCUGCCAGUCCCU